Molecule: ribosomal RNA, 487 nt
Filed under: Xanthomelon pachystylum
Lineage: Eukaryota; Metazoa; Mollusca; Gastropoda; Stylommatophora; Camaenidae
Description: partial 12S ribosomal RNA
Source: RNAcentral
GUCAUACUUUUGUAGCAGGAUAAAACGACUUUAGGUUUAUAAAAUAAUAAACUAAGACAGUGGUGAAAUACGAAUAUGUUAUCCUCCACAUAUUUAUUUAAUUUACUAAAUAUUGAUAUUAAACAAGGAUUAGAUACCCUUUUAUACAAUACUGGAGAUUAACCUACUGAGUAGUACGAUUGUAAGAAUUAAAACUUAAGCAACAUGGCGGUAAUCUUUAUAUUUAGGGGAACUUACUAAUUAAAUGAUAACCACCAAGGUAUUCAACUUUAUAAAAUUCUUGUAUGCCGCCGUCGUCAGGUAUGAUUCAAUAUUCUACCAAAAUGUAUUAAUACAAAAAGACAGGUCAAGGUGCAGACAAUUAUAAAGCCUACGCGAGUUACAAUUUUAUAUUAAAGCAGCGGUUCCUAAUAAAAAUAACUAAAGAAGGACUUAACAGUUAAUUAUUAUAGUUUUUACAUUAUGAACUAUUAGAGAUUGUGUACAA